RNAcentral lists this ribosomal RNA (1230 nucleotides) under 'Vitis vinifera' X-disease phytoplasma. Its description in RNAcentral is "bacterial SSU rRNA". It matches the Rfam family "Bacterial small subunit ribosomal RNA", at positions 165 to 1394 of the family's 1533-position model. Lineage: Bacteria; Bacillati; Mycoplasmatota; Mollicutes; Acholeplasmatales; Acholeplasmataceae. The record is from RNAcentral.
AAGACUGGAUAGGAAAAGUAAAGGCACCUUUACUUUUUUAAAAGACCUUCUUUGAAGGUAUGCUUAAGGAGGGGCUUGCGACACAUUAGUUAGUUGGCAGGGUAAAGGCCUACCAAGACUAUGAUGUGUAGCUGGACUGAGAGGUUGAACAGCCACAUUGGGACUGAGACACGGCCCAAACUCCUACGGGAGGCAGCAGUAGGGAAUUUUCGGCAAUGGAGGAAACUCUGACCGAGCAACGCCGCGUGAACGAUGAAGUACCUCGGUAUGUAAAGUUCUUUUAUUAAGGAAGAAAAAAGAGUGGAAAAACUCCCUUGACGGUACUUAAUGAAUAAGCCCCGGCUAAUUAUGUGCCAGCAGCCGCGGUAAUACAUAAGGGGCGAGCGUUAUCCGGAAUUAUUGGGCGUAAAGGGUGCGUAGGCGGUUUAAUAAGUCUAUAGUUUAAUUUCAGCGCUUAACGCUGUUGUGCUAUAGAAACUGUUUUACUAGAGUGAGUUAGAGGCAAGCGGAAUUCCAUGUGUAGCGGUAAAAUGCGUAAAUAUAUGGAGGAACACCAGAGGCGUAGGCGGCUUGCUGGGACUUUACUGACGCUGAGGCACGAAAGCGUGGGGAGCAAACAGGAUUAGAUACCCUGGUAGUCCACGCCGUAAACGAUGAGUACUAAGUGUCGGGUAAAACCGGUACUGAAGUUAACACAUUAAGUACUCCGCCUGAGUAGUACGUACGCAAGUAUGAAACUUAAAGGAAUUGACGGGACUCCGCACAAGCGGUGGAUCAUGUUGUUUAAUUCGAAGAUACACGAAAAACCUUACCAGGUCUUGACAUUUUCUUGCGAAGUUAUAGAAAUAUAAUGGAGGUUAUCAAGAAAACAGGUGGUGCAUGGUUGUCGUCAGCUCGUGUCGUGAGAUGUUAGGUUAAGUCCUAAAACGAGCGCAACCCUUGUCGUUAAUUGCCAGCAUGUAAUGAUGGGGACUUUAACGAGACUGCCAAUGAAAAAUUGGAGGAAGGUGGGGAUUACGUCAAAUCAUCAUGCCCCUUAUGAUCUGGGCUACAAACGUGAUACAAUGGUUGAUACAAAGAGUAGCUGAAACGCGAGUUCUUAGCCAAUCUCACAAAAUCAAUCUCAGUUCGGAUUGAAGUCUGCAACUCGACUUCAUGAAGUUGGAAUCGCUAGUAAUCGCGAAUCAGCAUGUCGCGGUGAAUACGUUCUCGGGGUUUGUACACACCGCC